UGGGGUUUGAGCUGCUUCUCAAAGAGACACUGGAGUGGUUGGCCAUUUCCUUCUCCAGCUUAUUUUGCAGAUGAGGAAACUGACACAAACAGGGUAAAGUGACUUGCCCAGGAUCAUUCAACUAGGAUCCUUGGAUAUCUUCUAUUUAAUUAAAUGACAGUAUUUACCCAUGAAAGAAGAUAGCCAGUUUUAAUAGAAAUGAUGCCAGUCAAAUCCUGCUGGCUUGUACCAGUCAAGAGGCUCCUUCCUCCAGCAUGACUGCAGGACCUGGAAGCUCUCGG
This 281-nucleotide long non-coding RNA is filed under the name Monodelphis domestica (gray short-tailed opossum). Its description in RNAcentral is "lncRNA (ENSMODG00000045725.1)". The record is from RNAcentral. Lineage: Eukaryota; Metazoa; Chordata; Mammalia; Didelphimorphia; Didelphidae.